This 583-nucleotide long non-coding RNA is filed under the name Equus caballus (horse). RNAcentral's name for it is "lncRNA (ENSECAG00000044036.1)". The record is from RNAcentral. Lineage: Eukaryota; Metazoa; Chordata; Mammalia; Perissodactyla; Equidae.
AGCCAAGAUUUUAACUGCGAGCUCCUAUCUCCAAGCUCUGUUAUAGCGGUUCUCACUCUUCAGCCUCUUCCGCCUGCGUCAGAAUCACCUGGAGGGCUUGUUAAAAGAGGCUAAUUGGCCAGAGUCACUGCUGGAUUCAAAGGAGGACCCUGUGGAGCCACUGCAUGACCCAGGGGACUAAUCCAUCCAGACAAGAGGACAUUUAGAGCAGGAGGCAAUACGUAUAGAGUCAUUGGCUCCAAAGAAGAUGCAGGGUGAAGAAGCAGGGUCGCUGGCCUUACAAUACUCACAGGCAGAUCCGGGGAAUAGUAGAUGCACACUCCACAGUUAUGAAUGGUGGAAGGUGACAAACUAUGGAAGAAACUGUGGGGAAAAUCUUUCAACUGUAAAGUCCAGGGAAGAUUCAUGGAGGAAGUGAUUCUGAGCGGAGUCCUAUGGCACAGGUGCUGUGUAUGGAGCGAUAACCAGUAAACAAAAACCUCCAUUCUCAUGGAGAGCCUCCACAGAGCCAGGCAUUGAUGCUGCUAGGCCUGAGGGAUCAAGCCUUCCUUCCCUCACCAGGGUCGGGGUCUCCUGCACAAGG